UUUCGAAUAGCCAUUGGCACAUACAGUAUGUACAUGUGUACAUUGCGAAUAUUAUAAAUAUAAACUGUACGACAAUUAUUCAGCUAUAAUCCGUACGACAACAUUUUGAGACAUACUGAUUUUCUAAUUUUUAUAAAGAACUGAUUGCUACGACGAUAAAUCUAUACAGUAAUGAUAAUUGAGCUUUACAUCUUUUUUUCAUCGUAGUUCCGAACUGUGAUUUUAUUUAAAUCAGUUGGUUGCAGAGAGGACCAAAAUAUCUGUCUGUUACUAAUCGGUGUCUAGUGAAGAUCGGGUUUUGGAUAUAAGUUCUUAUAAAAAAGCAUGGAGAAGAUUUCGAGAAUAUGAGAAGUGUACGUUAAGAAUAGUUUUACGAUACUUUAAAAAUAGCCAUAGAUCUUCCCGUUCUGAAGAAAAUAAUUUUUUUUAUUUUUGAGCUUAUCGAUGUAAUUCCGGAACUACGUGGUAACAGAAGUUAACAUGAUAGAUAAUUUAAUAUUGGAUCAUGGUGUAACAUGUGUAAAAAUGAACCCAAUAACGCUGACAGCAACCUACCAUACGAAAACAAGCCAUGGCCUUUGAAACAUACAUUUUUCCUUAUAUACGAAUUUUUUGAAACUUGGUAUACAGGAAUCUUUGGGGUCGCUGAUUACAAAUAUGGAGUCAAAUUUUGAAAAUCUUCAAAAUUCAAAAUGGCGGACCUGACAUGAAAAUGUAAAAAUGAUCCCGAUCACUGAAAAUCUUGUAUUUAGGGAAAAUAAAAAGCUGGAAGAAGAAACUCGCUACGUCCUUGUCGUUAGUUUUGAGUAAUGCUAAAAGCGAGAUUUCUUAGAGGUUUUCUAUUUGCCACCAUGUUUGACUGCAAUUUUGAAUUUUGUAAUUGUCAACAUAUUCGUAAUCAACUACUCAAAAAACUUUCUAACAUAAAGUUAUGUUAAAUGUUCACUUUAGGGGAGUCACCUUUGGUGAUCUUGAUCUUGACAUAUAUUAUAGAGGUCAUCCUCCUGAGUAACCUUCAGAAGGUUUUAGCCGUCGCUCGUUGUUUGUUAAAAUGUUAUUAACAAAAAAUGUUUUAGAAAUUGAUCUUAAUUCUUGCACGCAGUGCAAACAUAAAGAGAGAUACAGUGCACAGGAUAAAUAAAUUAUAUUGAAAAAAUUAUUUAUUCAAUAUUUAUAAUAAAUUUAUUCAGUAAAAUUUCCGCUAAGUGGAUAGAAAUUGGCCAUAAUUUCAGAAAAUUUAUCGAUUCGAUCUUCAUAAUGAUAUUUUUGCUUGAACAAAAAUUCAGCUAAAUAAUGCGCAUAAUGAUUUUCAUUUCUACCAAAAGAGGUAUUCUAUUGCGUAUAUCACACCAUAAUCUUUCGAUGUUUUGAGUAUGAACUCCAGUAACCGGAUCGACAAAAUUGCGAGAAUGAUUUACAGUUUGAUGUAAAUAAUUUUCUUUACAUAAAGCGUCGUAACCACGCCAACAAUCAUUGUAUAUUAUAUAAUACUUCCCGAUGCAAUAUAACGACGAAUGAUGAGUAUUAAUAUAGCUAAUGUUCUGACUGGUACUGGCAUCACAAAUAACCGAUCACUCUGUCUUUCCAUACCUCCAAAUAACCAUUGUCCAGUAAUUAAUUUUCCUUCAUGAUAUUUUCGACGUCCGAAUUUUGCUUCGUCUAUUUCCACAAUUAUCCCUGGGCCGCCUAAUAGUUUGCUAUUAUCAGUCACCCACUGAUUUAGUAACUAAAAUGUGAAUAACUUAUUAAUUAGACAAAUUAUUUUAAGUAAAUUAAUAAUACUAACUUCACCACAAAAAUUAACCCAAUCCACAGCAACGGAUCUUGAUAUUUGAAUUUACGUUUCCAAUAGUUUCUAUCGUGGUGAAUUCAUCAUUAAAAAAUAAGAAAUUAUACGACAUAUUUUCACUAGAUCUAAAUGUGCUUUUGCAAACCACGUUCUUGUUAUUGCACUUAACUUAAAAUUGCAAGUCUUUUUUUGCCGUAUUCGUCCACGAAUUUGUUUAUAAUACAUAUCGGUGCAAUGCAUUAUAAGUGAUUCUUCUGGUUUUAAACGAAUUCUUUUAUCACAUCGUGGACAUAAGAUAUUUUUUCGGAGCAUUUUUUUCGCACUUAAGUAGUUUACUAAAUUUUCAUAAUUAUAUAUUAAAUGAAUAAACUCAUGAAACAGCAUGAUGAAAAUAUCUUACUUUAGCUAAGCUCCACGAUACACUAAUAAUGUAUGUCGGGACAUGAUCAUAACACACAUACAAUAGUAGUGCGUGUCAGAACAUGAUCAUAACAUGAUUAUCAACAUAGAAAUCGUACAUACGAUCAAAACAAAAAUCGCGCAAUAUACUCUGUGUGCAAAAAUUAUGUUAAAUUUUUUUUAGUAAGUACUGCAAUCUCGAACGACUAGCGGGGGACGUUGCCCCCCGCACCUCCCUUAAAAACUAGCCUAACCCAACCUAUCGUCACAUUAAGCGUCAGUCAUUGUUUAUUAAAGUGUUGAACUUUUUUGUGUUAAUGUGACGGUAGGUUAGUUUUGAGGGGGAGU
This is a long non-coding RNA of Odontomachus brunneus, 2536 nucleotides long. RefSeq lists it as uncharacterized. The record is from RefSeq and is a predicted model, not a curated record. Lineage: Eukaryota; Metazoa; Arthropoda; Insecta; Hymenoptera; Formicidae. The transcript has 3 exons.